RNAcentral lists this unclassified non-coding RNA (341 nucleotides) under soil metagenome. RNAcentral's name for it is "partial contains 5.8S ribosomal RNA, internal transcribed spacer 2, and large subunit ribosomal RNA". The stretch from base 1 to 120 matches the Rfam family "5.8S ribosomal RNA", at positions 35 to 154 of the family's 154-position model. The record is from RNAcentral.
GAUGAAGAACGUAGCGAAAUGCGAUAACUAAUGUGAAUUGCAGAAUUCAGUGAAUCAUCGAGUCUUUGAACGCACAUUGCGCCCCCUGGUAUUCCGGGGGGCAUGCUUGUCCGAGCGUCAUUGCUGCCCUCAAGCACGGCUUGUGUGUUGGGCUCCGUCCCCCCGGGGACGGGUCCGAAAGGCAGCGGCGGCACCGAGUCCGGUCCUCGAGCGUAUGGGGCUUUGUCACCCGCUCUGUAGGCCCGGCCGGCGCCAGCCGACAACCAAUCAUCCUUUUUUCAGGUUGACCUCGGAUCAGGUAGGGAUACCCGCUGAACUUAAGCAUAUCAAUAAGCGGAGGA